GGGGUGUGCGCAAAAAUUUGAAUUUUAGAUUUUUAGUUCUAAGGGUUUUGGAGGAGAAAAUAAAUUAGAAAAAAAUUAUUUUCUUCUUCAUCUUUUUUUUACCUCUUCAUCUCCUCCAGAAGUCCAUCUUUAAUCUCUAAAAAAAUUUUAUAAAAUUGAAAAAAGAUCUAGAUAAGCUAAGAAUAAGGUCUUCGUGCGAGCUAGCACUCCUAAGAAGAUCUAUUAGAUCGGAGCUUUGAGUAAAUUUUUUGGAGAGACUGGAUGCAUGUGCGGCUGCAAGCAACUAGCU
This 289-nucleotide long non-coding RNA is filed under the name Elaeis guineensis (African oil palm). RNAcentral's name for it is "long non-coding RNA (EGUI_LNC068091)". Lineage: Eukaryota; Viridiplantae; Streptophyta; Magnoliopsida; Arecales; Arecaceae. The record is from RNAcentral.